UACGUAGGGGGCAAGCGUUGUCCGGAAUCAUUGGGCGUAAAGCGCGCGUAGGCGGCCCUGUAAGUCCGUUGUGAAAGUCGAAGGCUCAACCUUCGAAAGCCGAUGGAUACUGCAGGGCUAGAGUCCGGAAGAGGCGAGUGGAAUUCCUGGUGUAACGGUGAAAUGCGCAGAUAUCAGGAGGAACACCGAUGGCGAAGGCAGGUCUCUGGGCAUUAACUGACGCUGAGGAGCGAAAGCAUGGGGAGCGAACAGG
This 253-nucleotide ribosomal RNA is filed under the name uncultured bacterium. RNAcentral describes it as "partial 16S ribosomal RNA". It matches the Rfam family "Bacterial small subunit ribosomal RNA", at positions 524 to 776 of the family's 1533-position model. The record is from RNAcentral.